This 1543-nucleotide unclassified non-coding RNA is filed under the name Hevea brasiliensis (rubber tree). Lineage: Eukaryota; Viridiplantae; Streptophyta; Magnoliopsida; Malpighiales; Euphorbiaceae. The record is from RNAcentral.
UGGAUAGAUAGAUUUUUUCUAGUGGAAGAUACUCUGGACGAGCAUUGGGGCGGUCUCCAGGUGAGCUGGAACUGCUUUGCAAAUAAGAGAAAGGGGAAAAUGAGGCACAACUUUGAAGAAAAUGCCGUAAUAAAGGAGCUGAAGGCCAUUGUUCAACAUGACAAGAUUUCAAUUGGUGAAUUGAUCGAAGUCGAAAGCAAAUGGUGGGAUGCCACAUAUGUGACGGGGGAUCUAGUGGAGGCCGAACAUUAAAAUAAUAUAUCGAUAGAGGGUAAUAACUUGUGACUUUGUCUUUCAUUAAUUUUUCUUACUGAGAUUCUUUUGUUGGUACAGAAAUGUCGAGUCGGGCAAAGAAUAUUGAGAAACUCAUUAGGAAGAAGAAGAAAGCUGGGCGAACUCUAGCUAAAGAGAAAGAGACUGAUACUCCUGCGUCAAAGAAGGCUACGAUCGCUACUCUUUUGACCUCGCCAACCUCCAGCAAGCAACAAGCUGACACUCCAGUGACUGCCUCAGAGUCGAGAGAAAGAGAGACACAAGCACGCGAUCCUCCCCAACAUCCACCUCAAACUGUUGAGCAACUUCUGGAUGGGCAAUCUGUUGUGGAUAACCUCAAGCUUGCGAGCUGGUUUGGCAAGAGAUACACCCUCCCCUUAGACCGAGCUCGAUUGGAGGGCGAGCAUGAUGAGGAACUGGCACUCCGAGCGAUAUCCCUUCAACUAGAGCAGAUUGCAUGUACCCAGCUCUUGAGGGAGAGGGCUGGGUCGCUGCGAGGACAUAUUCGCACUCAAGAGGCAGAGAUCACGUUGCUGAAUGAAAUGGUCUCUGUCUUUGAGAAGAUGAUUCAGGACUUAGAGGCCGAGCUGCAAAUGUCGAAGGAGAGGUCCUCUGCCCUCGAAGGAGAGCUGCAAAUGUCGAAGGAGAGGUCCUCUGCCCUCGAAGGAGAGCUCCAGGGCACCCUAGAGAGGCAUACUGUUGAGCUAGCCGAGCUGAGGAAAAAGGUUAGGGAGCUGGAGGCCGAACUUACCUGCUCUGGCGACCAGUUGGCCAAGAUCUACAUCAAGGUCCAAAAUGACAUUUUGGUUGAGCUACAGAAACGAUACCCAGCAGAUGACUUCUCCUGGGUUGAAAAUCUCGGUGGGGCCGAGGAGGAGGAGGUUGAGCAUGUACAUGGGCAGGGGGACAAAGAUGAAGAUGUAAGAUAGCUUGGGACUUUGAUUCGAAUAAGACAAAUUGCUAAUCAAUUUGCUUAAGUAGGAUAGCUUGAAAUCAAAGUUCGAAUAAGAUAAAUUCAAGAUAAAAAGCAGAAGUAAGAUUGCUUGGAAUUUCAGCACAAAUAAAAUGAAGGAUAAAAUAAAUAAGUGAUAUCGCUCGGUAUUUUUGUUCGAAUGGCAAAGCAUUUUGCUUUAAGUAGUGUUGCUUGUAACCUUUUUUCAAACUUAAUUAUAAGCAAGAUGAUUUGCUGAAGUAUGAUUGCUCGGAAUCAAAUUUCGAAUAAAAUGUACUACAGGAUGAUGUGAUUAAGUUAAAUUGCUCAGAAUCUUUG